This 71-nucleotide transfer RNA is filed under the name Capra hircus (goat). It matches the Rfam family "tRNA". From Rfam's summary of the family: Transfer RNA (tRNA) molecules are approximately 80 nucleotides in length. RNAcentral also lists the same sequence under 1 other name. The record is from Rfam by way of RNAcentral. Lineage: Eukaryota; Metazoa; Chordata; Mammalia; Artiodactyla; Bovidae.
UCCUAUUGGCUUAGAUGGUGAAGAAUCUGCCUGCAAUGCAGAAGACCUGGGUUUGAUCCCUGGCUUAGGAA